RNAcentral lists this ribosomal RNA (470 nucleotides) under uncultured bacterium. RNAcentral's name for it is "partial 16S ribosomal RNA". It matches the Rfam family "Bacterial small subunit ribosomal RNA", at positions 28 to 507 of the family's 1533-position model. The record is from RNAcentral.
GACGAACGCUGGUGGCGUGCUUAACACAUGCAAGUCGAACGCUGAAGCACCAGCUUGCUGGUGUGGAUGAGUGGCGAACGGGUGAGUAAUACGUGAGUAACCUGCCCUUGACUCUGGGAUAAGCCCGGGAAACUGGGUCUAAUACUGGAUGCUACAUGUCACCGCAUGGUGGUGUGUGGAAAGGGUUUACUGGUCUUGGAUGGGCUCACGGCCUAUCAGCUUGUUGGUGAGGUAAUGGCUCACCAAGGCGACGACGGGUAGCCGGCCUGAGAGGGUGACCGGCCACACUGGGACUGAGACACGGCCCAGACUCCUACGGGAGGCAGCAGUGGGGAAUAUUGCACAAUGGGCGAAAGCCUGAUGCAGCGGCGCCGCGUGAGGGAUGACGGCCUUCGGGUUGUAAACCUCUUUCAGCAGGGAAGAAGCCACAAGUGACGGUACCUGCAGAAGAAGCGCCGGCUAACUACGUG